AUUGAACGCUGGCGGCAUGCCUUACACAUGCAAGUCGAACGGCAGCACGGGUGCUUGCACCUGGUGGCGAGUGGCGAACGGGUGAGUAAUACAUCGGAACAUGUCCUGUAGUGGGGGAUAGCCCGGCGAAAGCCGGAUUAAUACCGCAUACGAUCUACGGAUGCAAGCGGGGGAACUUCGGGCCUCGCGCUAUAGGGUUGGCCGAUGGCUGAUUCGCUAGUUGGUGGGGUAAAGGCCUACCAAGGCGACGAUCAGUAGCUGGUCUGAGAGGACGACCAGCCACACUGGGACUGAGACACGGCCCAGACUCCUACGGGAGGCAGCAGUGGGGAAUUUUGGACAAUGGGCGAAAGCCUGAUCCAGCAAUGCCGCGUGUGUGAAGAAGGCCUUCGGGUUGUAAAGCACUUUUGUCCGGAAAGAAAUCCUUGGCCCUAAUACGGGCGGGGGAUGACGGUACCGGAAGAAUAAGCACCGGCUAACUACGUG
RNAcentral lists this ribosomal RNA (486 nucleotides) under uncultured bacterium. RNAcentral describes it as "partial 16S ribosomal RNA". It matches the Rfam family "Bacterial small subunit ribosomal RNA", at positions 30 to 507 of the family's 1533-position model. The record is from RNAcentral.